Molecule: transfer RNA, 69 nt
Filed under: Loxodonta africana (African savanna elephant)
Lineage: Eukaryota; Metazoa; Chordata; Mammalia; Proboscidea; Elephantidae
Rfam family: tRNA
About the family: Transfer RNA (tRNA) molecules are approximately 80 nucleotides in length. Their secondary structure includes four short double-helical elements and three loops (D, anti-codon, and T loops).
Source: Rfam by way of RNAcentral
AUGGCUGUGCAAACGGAUUGCAUUUGACUGCUAAUCUAACAGUUGGUGGUUCAAACCCACCCAGUGGUG